UAACACGUAGGGCGCAAGCGUUGUCCGGAAUUAUUGGGCGUAAAGAGCUCGUAGGUGGUCUGCUGCGUCCGCUGUGAAAACUCAGGGCUUAACCCUGAGCUUGCAGUGGAUACGGGCAGACUAGAGGUAGGUAGGGGAGAAUGGAAUUCCCGGUGUAGCGGUGAAAUGCGCAGAUAUCGGGAGGAACACCGGUGGCGAAGGCGGUUCUCUGGGCCUUACCUGACACUGAGGAGCGAAAGCGUGGGGAGCGAACAGGAUUAGAUACCCUGGUAGUCCACGCCGUAAACGUUGGGCGCUAGGUGUGGGGUCCUUCCACGGAUUCCGUGCCGCAGCUAACGCAUUAAGCGCCCCGCCUGGGGAGUACGGCCGCAAGGCUA
This 377-nucleotide ribosomal RNA is filed under the name uncultured bacterium. RNAcentral describes it as "bacterial SSU rRNA". It matches the Rfam family "Bacterial small subunit ribosomal RNA", at positions 521 to 896 of the family's 1533-position model. The record is from RNAcentral.